Molecule: non-coding RNA, 1106 nt
Organism: Paralichthys olivaceus (Japanese flounder)
Lineage: Eukaryota; Metazoa; Chordata; Actinopteri; Pleuronectiformes; Paralichthyidae
Source: RefSeq, a predicted model, not a curated record
CCGUCCUCGUGGCACUAGUCCCUUUCCUUUGGCCUUGAGAACAAAGAUAACCCUGUGAAAUUCUUGUCUGGAUUUUUCCUCUCUGAUGGACAAGGGCAGGCAGCGUUUGAGGGCGCUGCAUUGGCUGAACAAUGUGAUAUCGUGAUGAAAGAAAGCUAACAGCUGUCUUAAUCCCUGUGGAAAUCUCCAUCUCUUUGUGUCGCCUUCCUGGCUGUCAUGUCGUCCUGACACACUGACUCCCAGCCACACUCCUCUAAGAUACCUUAAACCUCUGAAGGACAGCGGUGUGUGAGAUCAAGGUCAGUGUUUGGGUGUUAGACAAAGUCGAGCUCCGAUCCACCCUUCACUUUGUUCCUUCUGACGGUGUAAGACGAUGUGAAUCUGUCCGCCCCUGUGCUGCUGUGAGUUACUUUGGAGACAAAGGGGACUACAGCACAGCAGAUCCCAAAGCUCUUAAGUGGCCAUCAGUGAGUUUCACUCCUCAUCCAGCCCUUUCUGUGAUGAAGAAUGAGCAGAGAAUAGACAAAGACAUGGAUUAUAUACAGAAGACCAACAAGUUUCAACAAGGGUAACAGAAGAGAAUACACCACGACUAUGGACUUUGUUUUUGUUGUUUGUCUAAUUUGUAACUGAAAGAGAUGAUUCCAAGUCUGCAUUUUGUUUAAUAAGAGAUUCAUCUUUUAAAUAGAAGCUUAACAAAAAUGCAGCUGUGUGUCCAUGAAAGCUAAUGCUUGCUAACAAUAAUUGUAGACUCAAUGGGGGGCAUAUUGUAUAUUAGCAAAAACUAACCACAAGAUCAUCCAUCAUUCAAAGCUUUGUUUGGUAUCUUUAUUUGGACCUAUUCAUUUGUUAACAUUGAUUUGAUUGGAUUAAUACGCUGUUACUGCUUUAACAAUUAAAUCUGUCUGAUGAUAUUAUAGUUAACAUACAAAUUUAAGUUGCUCUGCAUUUAUUUCUCUUUUGGAUCUUGUCAGGUCACUAACAAAAAACUAACAUUAUCAUGGUGCCUCUCCUGUGACAAAAAAUUAUAGCACUGCUAACCUAUUAAAGUAGACUAAUACAAUCUACCAACAAAACAUCCAAAUAAAAUCGAUUUGUACGACGAC